GCAGUGGCUCAAUGGUAGAGCCUCUGCUCUGAAUACAGAAAGUUCUGGGUUCAAACCACAGCAUCUCCA
Non-coding RNA from Podarcis lilfordi (Lilford's wall lizard), 69 nucleotides. The record is from the annotation of a GenBank genome assembly. Lineage: Eukaryota; Metazoa; Chordata; Lepidosauria; Squamata; Lacertidae.